AUCCUGGUUCUUCUUGCUAGUGGUGUGAUCUUGAAGAAGUUAUUCAACCUCUCUUGAGCUUGGUUGCAUCAUCCGAAAAAUAAGGAUAAUAAUGCCUUCCUCAUAAGGCACCAUACCAUCUCACGUCAUCACAAGAAGAAGAAGGGUGAGGACAGCACAGUAAGAUACUUGGAGAGAGAGAGACAACACAUUCACAGGGUACGUUCCAAGACCACCAGUGGAUGCCUGAAACUGCGCGUAGUACCAAACCCGAUAUGUACAGCUUGCAAACUGUGGCAGAAGCUGGCUAGAUGCCCAACAAUCCCCUUUCCUCUCUCCUAAGCACGGACUCCAGAGGCUACUCAGCUAAGAAGACAUUGUCACAGAUGGAAGGAGCCAGAUCCCCAAAUCAUCACUUGGAGAAGAGACACCCCAGACAGCCAACAACCAGCAUCAAAUUAUGAAAUAAAUCUUUA
This 455-nucleotide long non-coding RNA is filed under the name Equus caballus (horse). Its description in RNAcentral is "lncRNA (ENSECAG00000045197.1)". The record is from RNAcentral. Lineage: Eukaryota; Metazoa; Chordata; Mammalia; Perissodactyla; Equidae.